CCUACGGGAGGCAGCAGUGAGGAAUAUUGGUCAAUGGACGAGAGUCUGAACCAGCCAAGUAGCGUGAAGGAUGACGGCCCUAUGGGUUGUAAACUUCUUUUAUAUGGGAAUAAAAUGCUGCACGCGUGCUAUUUUGUAUGUACCACAUGAAUAAGGAUCGGCUAAUUUCGUGACAGCAGCCGCGGUAAUACGGAGGGUCCGGGCGUUAUCCGGAUUUAUUGGGGUUAAAGGGAGCGUAGGUGGAAUGUGAAGUCCGUUGUGAAAGUCGGCGGCUCAACCGUAGAAUUGCGGUGGAAACUGGGAGGCUUGAGUGCAGGAGAGGUAGGCGGAAUUCGUGGUGUAGCGGUGAAAUGCGUAGAUAUCACGAAGAACUCCGAUGGCGAAGGCAGCUCACUGGACUGCAACUGACGCUGAGGCUCGAAAGUGUGGGUAUCAAACAGGAUUAGAUACCCGAGUAGUC
RNAcentral lists this ribosomal RNA (460 nucleotides) under uncultured bacterium. RNAcentral describes it as "partial 16S ribosomal RNA". It matches the Rfam family "Bacterial small subunit ribosomal RNA", at positions 338 to 795 of the family's 1533-position model. The record is from RNAcentral.